UACGUAGGGGGCAAGCGUUGUCCGGAAUUAUUGGGCGUAAAGAGCGCGUAGGCGGUCCGAUAAGUCGGCUGUGAAAGUCAGGGGCUCAACCCUUGAAAGCUGGCCGAUACUGUCGGACUAGAGUCCGGAAGAGGCGAGUGGAAUUCCCGGUGUAGCGGUGAAAUGCGCAGAUAUCAGGAGGAACACCGGUGGCGAAGGCGGGUCUCUGGGCCGUAACUGACGCUGAGGAGCGAAAGCAUGGGGAGCGAACAGG
This 253-nucleotide ribosomal RNA is filed under the name uncultured bacterium. RNAcentral describes it as "partial 16S ribosomal RNA". It matches the Rfam family "Bacterial small subunit ribosomal RNA", at positions 524 to 776 of the family's 1533-position model. The record is from RNAcentral.